Molecule: ribosomal RNA, 484 nt
Filed under: uncultured bacterium
Lineage: Bacteria
Description: partial 16S ribosomal RNA
Rfam family: Bacterial small subunit ribosomal RNA
Source: RNAcentral
AUUGAACGCUGGCGGCAGGCCUAACACAUGCAAGUCGAGCGGAUGAAGGGAGCUUGCUCCUGGAUUCAGCGGCGGACGGGUGGGUAAUGCCUAGGAAUCUGCCUGGUAGUGGGGGAUAACGUCCGGAAACGGGCGCUAAUACCGCAUACGUCCUGAGGGAGAAAGUGGGGGAUCUUCGGACCUCACGCUAUCAGAUGAGCCUAGGUCGGAUUAGCUAGUUGGUGGGGUAAAGGCCUACCAAGGCGACGAUCCGUAACUGGUCUGAGAGGAUGAUCAGUCACACUGGAACUGAGACACGGUCCAGACUCCUACGGGAGGAAGCAGUGGGGAAUAUUGGACAAUGGGCGAAAGCCUGGUCCAGCCAGGCCGCGUGUGUGAAGAAGGUCUUCGGAUUUUAAAGCACUUUAAGUUGGGAGGAAGGGCAGUAGGUUAAUACCUUGCUGUUUUGACGUUACCAACAGAAUAAGCACCGGCUAACUUCGUG